This 435-nucleotide ribosomal RNA is filed under the name uncultured bacterium. RNAcentral describes it as "partial 16S ribosomal RNA". It matches the Rfam family "Bacterial small subunit ribosomal RNA", at positions 29 to 507 of the family's 1533-position model. The record is from RNAcentral.
AGCGAACGCUGGCGGCAGGCUUAACACAUGCAAGUCGAGCGGGCACUUUCGGGUGUCAGCGGCGGACGGGUGAGUAACGCGUGGGAACGUGCCCUCUGGUUCGGAAUAACUCAGGGAAACUUGAGCUAAUACCGGAUACGCCCUUUUGGGGAAAGGCUUGCUGCCGGAGGAUCGGCCCGCGUCUGAUUAGCUAGUUGGUGAGGUAACGGCUCACCAAGGCGACGAUCAGUAGCUGGUCUGAGAGGAUGAUCAGCCACACUGGGACUGAGUCACGGCCCAGACUCCUACGGGAGGCAGCAGUGGGGAAUAUUGGACAAUGGGCGCAAGCCUGAUCCAGCCAUGCCGCGUGAGUGAUGAAGGCCUUAGGGUUGUAAAGCUCUUUUAUCCGGGACGAUAAUGACGGUACCGGAGGAAUAAGCCCCGGCUAACUUCGUG